GACGAACGCUGGCGGCGUGCUUAACACAUGCAAGUCGAACGGAAAGGCCCUGCUUUUGUGGGGUGCUCGAGUGGCGAACGGGUGAGUAACACGUGAGUAACCUGCCCUUGACUUUGGGAUAACUUCAGGAAACUGGGGCUAAUACCGGAUAGGGGCUCCUGCUGCAUGGUGGGGGUUGGAAAGUUUCGGCGGUUGGGGAUGGACUCGCGGCUUAUCAGCUUGUUGGUGGGGUAGUGGCUUACCAAGGCUUUGACGGGUAGCCGGCCUGAGAGGGUGACCGGCCACAUUGGGACUGAGAUACGGCCCAGACUCCUACGGGAGGCAGCAGUGGGGAAUAUUGCACAAUGGGCGGAAGCCUGAUGCAGCAACGCCGCGUGCGGGAUGACGGCCUUCGGGUUGUAAACCGCUUUCGCCUGGGACGAAGCGUGAGUGACGGUAAUGGGUAAAGAAGCACCGGCUAACUACGUG
This 468-nucleotide ribosomal RNA is filed under the name uncultured bacterium. RNAcentral describes it as "partial 16S ribosomal RNA". It matches the Rfam family "Bacterial small subunit ribosomal RNA", at positions 28 to 507 of the family's 1533-position model. The record is from RNAcentral.